GUCGUUCAUCUCGCUCCUCUCGACCGCAUCCAGAACCUCGUCUGGUGCCAUGAUGCUCCGCAGCUUGGCCAGGACGAACUGCUUCAUCUCCGCCGGGCUCUGGUCGACGUCCUCCUUGCCGUCCGGACAGGAAGGUGACCACGUCAGGAACCAGUACACGUCCGUGUCGCCGCAGGGCACCAGGCCGGCACGGAAGCCGUUGCCGCUCAACUGCAUGAACUUGGGCUGGAACCCGUGGCCGUCGGAGUACUUGGCGUGCCCCCGCGUGGCCCUGCGCCCGGAGUCGAGCGGCUUGGCGAGCCCCAGCCAUCUGGCCACCACCGAGUUGAUCCCGUCGCAGCCGAUCAGCACCUUUGCUCGGAGCGUCGAGCCGUCGGCGAGAUGCAGGAUCUUGGCAUCGCCGCCGCCGUCUUUUUCUUUGUCGUCGUCGAUGGAGACGAUCCUGGAGUUGUAGCGGAUGGUGCCUGCCGGAAGCUCUUCCUCCAGCGCCUGGAGCAGCACGUUCCGCUGCACGCACCGGGCUUCGUGGGGUCCCCUGCAUUAAUCAAGAAGCAAACAGAUGAAUUCACCCAAGAAUGGAGCAAGUUUGGGUUUGAUCCGAUGGUGAAUGGAGUGGACAUCUCACAGUUUUCCUUGCACCCGGAGAUCCAGCUCUCGCACCACUUGCCCGGUAGUCGGAGACAUGACACGCACCCUAUCCAUUCGAGAGGAGAAAAAUGAACAGUACGCCGUCAGCACGGCUAACUCGAUAUAUGUAUGAUCGUGAUAAGCUUCAGAAAAAGAUGGAGAUCCAGAUCAAGAUCGAGCUGUAGUGUAUACGUACCCCUGCACCUGCAGGUGGUGGCUCCUCAUCUUGUCGCCGACGCCGAGGGCGUCAAGCGCGCGGAAGGCGUUGGUCCAUGUCAUGAACGCGAAGCCGGACGUCCGGAGCGCCGGCGACGACUCCAGCACCACGCUCCGCACGCCCUUCCUGCAUUCAUCCAGCGACCCUUGUUUAGUGAAGCCGACAUGCCACAUGUACACAACACAAAUGAAGAAGCUGGCUAGCGUUCACGACGAAUUCAGAGAGCAUGUGAGUCGUCUCUGCCUCUGUGGAGAUGUGACUGGUGUGCCGGCGUACCUGUGGAGUCCCAGGGCGACGCCGACACCGGCGAGGCCGGCGCCGACAAUGACCACGUCCUCGGCGGCGUCCUGCUUCUGCUGCUCCAUGUGUGCUUACACUGGCUUACGCUUCGACGACUGAUAUAUUCGGUUCGUCGUGUGUGCUCGCGAGUUAAUUUGAGCUGGUUUUGACUGAUCUAUACCAUUCAGCAAGUCAAUGCUGUAUGUAUAUGUGCUCCAAGAAAACUGAAGCAGCGGAGAAGGAGGCGGCUCUGGCGUCACUGCUGAUGAUGCCUUGCUGGUUGGCCUUGUACAAUAAUGGUCAACUUGGGCACUUGGCAACUUGCAUCCGUCCUUUUUCAGUAUCAUACUAGCGCCUUUUUUCUUCGGACUAGUACUUUAUCCGAGAAUUUUGGGGGCAAGGUAGAAUAAAAAAACGGUUGACGGCCACAUGCAAAUAUGUUGGCCAUUGCUGAAUUUUCGAUCCUUGACAGUGGGGUUUAUUUUUAUUUUUGAGGCAAAGUCCUUGAGAGCAACUCGAACGCAGGGACCUAAAUGGACACGGAUUUUGUUUACUUUUUGUUCGUAUGAGUCAUCUAUCCGCUUAGCGGACAUGCGGCGGACACACGAUGCACUCAACGCAGCAACACAUGAAGCGGACAAGCACAACAGAACACAGGCAAACGCAUAGCAGUAGCAGCACCAAGCGAGCCGGACAAUGGGCAGUGCCCAAGGCCCGCGCUGCUGCCGCCGCAAGCCCCAGGGCGCGGGCUCGCCUACGUCACCCCCCCCNNNNNNNNNNCCUUCGCCGAUCUAAAGCCAGAUGACAUGCUGCUGAAGACCGCAUCGCGCCGCCGCCCGAUCCAGGCCAGCCGCCGCAGCAGCCGUCCGUGGCCCGAGGCAGGGCCGACCGCCGCCGCCGUCGAAGCCAUCGCCGCCGCUUCUAGAUCGGCCGCACCUCCAUGCAUGUUGGGGCCCCGCCACCCCUGUGGUGCGGGAGGGAGGAAGGGAGGAUCGGGUGGCCUCUCGAGUGGCGGCUGGGAAGGCCUCCGAAGUCGCCUGGAGGAGCGACCCGGGAGGCAGAUGCGCCUCUAUAAGAAUAAAAUGUAAAAUGAUUUUUUUACAUAUAUCUUAAUAUAGGAUCUCACGAAUAUAAACGACUACAGAAUCGAAUUAGACUUGUUCGACUAAGAUUUUAGGAGACUGCGUUACAAAUGGCUUCUGCCAGAACGAGACCCCUCGCACUGGCAGUCAAAGCGUGCCACAGUCGUAGUCGGGCAUCAUGAGGAGCCCCUUGGCGAGCACCCCUGACAGCAGCCUGUCGCGCGCAAAUCUCACCACGGCGUGCUCGCUCUGCUGCACACGCCCCACCAUGUAGGACGCCGCAAUCACCUGCGCGCUCCUCCACCGCCGGAUCCCGGCGUACCGGCGCAGAGCCGCCUCGAUCGUCUCAUCUCCGUCCAUCGCGUCGCCGAGGCACCGCGCGAGGACGACCGCGUCCUCCAGCGCGAUGCACGCGCCCUGCGCCAGGUCCGGCGUCGUGGGGUGGAGCGCGUCGCCGGCGACGCACACGUUCCCCUUGCUGAUGCUCCCGAACAGGAGCGACAGCGGCGGGCGGUACCGCAGCGGCGCCACGAGGACGUCGUUCAUCUCGCUCCUCUCGACCGCAUCCAGAACCUCGUCUGGUGCCAUGAUGCUCCGCAGCUUGGCCAGGACGAACUGCUUCAUCUCCGCCGGGCUCUGGUCGACGUCCUCCUUGCCGUCCGGACAGGAAGGUGACCACGUCAGGAACCAGUACACGUCCGUGUCGCCGCAGGGCACCAGGCCGGCACGGAAGCCGUUGCCGCUCAACUGCAUGAACUUGGGCUGGAACCCGUGGCCGUCGGAGUACUUGGCGUGCCCCCGCGUGGCCC
This 3014-nucleotide long non-coding RNA is filed under the name Triticum aestivum (bread wheat). RNAcentral's name for it is "long non-coding RNA (TAES_LNC001091)". Lineage: Eukaryota; Viridiplantae; Streptophyta; Magnoliopsida; Poales; Poaceae. The record is from RNAcentral.